GAUCCCAUCAGAACUCCGAAGUUAAGCGUGCUUGGGCGAGAGUAGUACUAGGAUGGGUGACCCCUGGGAAGUCCUCGUGUUGCACCC
Molecule: ribosomal RNA, 87 nt
Filed under: Valeriana flaccidissima
Lineage: Eukaryota; Viridiplantae; Streptophyta; Magnoliopsida; Dipsacales; Caprifoliaceae
Source: RNAcentral